CCUCAGUGGCAGAACACAGGGCAAUCCUGUGUCACCAGGUUUACCUCAGUGGCAGAGAACAGGGCAGUCCUGGGUCACCAGGUUUACCUCAGUGGCAGAACACAGGGCAAUCCUGUGUCACCAGGUUUACCUCAGUGGCAGAACACAGGGCAGUCCUGUGUCACCAAGUUUACCUCAGUGGCAGAACACAGGGCAGUCCUGUGGUCACCAGGUUUACCUCAGUGGCAGAACACAGGGCAGUCCUGUGGUCACCAGGUUUACCUCAGUGGCAGAGAACAGGGCAGUACUGGGUCACCAGGUUUACCCCAGUGGCAGAACACAGGGCAGUCCUGUAGUGGACACAGACGGAUGGACCCAGAACACAGGGCAGU
Molecule: long non-coding RNA, 371 nt
Organism: Acomys russatus (golden spiny mouse)
Lineage: Eukaryota; Metazoa; Chordata; Mammalia; Rodentia; Muridae
Exons: 3
Source: RefSeq, a predicted model, not a curated record